CAUGGGAGUUAAAGUGGACAGAAGAAAGGAGACAGAAUCAAGACAAAGGGAGGCCCUACUUAAGAAGGUGGCUUAGAAAAGAACAAGAUAGAAAGAGCAGGGCCAAGGCAGAGGAACAGAGUCCAGAGAGUAGAGAGGGAGGAGAGGUGAAGUCAAGGGCAUGGGGGGUGAGGACACAGGGAUGUCUGUAGGUAUCGGCCAGAUACCUACAGAGGGUGCUGGGGAGGGAGGGAGGGGAGAAGAGGGAAGAGGAAAGGAAGGGAGAGUGGAGAGGGGCUGCCUGGCGUGCAGGAGGUGGGGGGAGACAGGGAAAGAGAAGGGAACGGAGGAGAAAGAACGUUAGGGAGGACGGAACAGAAACAAUGGCUGUGAAACAAUGGCGAGGAACCCUUGUAGAGGGUUCUAAGCUCAGAGGCAGAGACAGGCUGUUGGCACCACUGGGCAGCUGAGGCGCUCAGGCUCCAGGGAGGGGAAACCUGAGCUGUGAGAGAGACCAUCAGAGGACCAGGGGAGCCAUCACUCAUGCCCCGCUUGUUCCAUUCGGGAAUUACUUCUUGCCUAUGAACUCCUAAAGAUCCUGCAGACUACUAGGCCCACCUGUGUGCUCUCGAGCAGUUUUCUGGAGUUGAAAUUAUCUCCGUUAGCCAACCGUAUCACAUGAACAGCAUCAGCAGCCACAGCAUCAGGAGGUUUGAUUCCUGGAACAGGAAGGACAGAGAACAAAGUGAAGUUCUGCGAUAUGGCUGUCACAACUGGGUGGGGAGGAUGGGGAGAUGGGGAAGGGGUAGAGACGGACAAGGAAUCAGGCAAGCAUCGACACCAGUAAAAUUCCAAGUACUUAUUAAGGUCGGUAUAGCACUAAGCUUCUUUCUUCAAUUAUAUGAUACAGAAUUAUCACAGGGUGUAUUACUAUAGGGUUGAAACAAUGAGGUUGCAUUACUGGCUCAAUCCCUCACUCCUCUCUGACUGAGCUGAGCUAUCCUCUUUCCAUUUUUAAAACCAGAGGUCAGAACUUUCAAGGUAUUUAUCAACCUCUCCUAUUCGCUGUCAAUGAUGA
Long non-coding RNA from Leopardus geoffroyi (Geoffroy's cat), 1057 nucleotides. RefSeq lists it as uncharacterized. The record is from RefSeq and is a predicted model, not a curated record. NCBI's taxonomy places the organism in Eukaryota, Metazoa, Chordata, Mammalia, Carnivora, Felidae. The transcript has 3 exons.